This 891-nucleotide ribosomal RNA is filed under the name Fusarium decemcellulare. Its description in RNAcentral is "eukaryotic LSU rRNA". It matches the Rfam family "Eukaryotic large subunit ribosomal RNA", at positions 40 to 961 of the family's 3401-position model. The record is from RNAcentral. Lineage: Eukaryota; Fungi; Ascomycota; Sordariomycetes; Hypocreales; Nectriaceae.
AUAUCAAUAAGCGGAGGAAAAGAAACCAACAGGGAUUGCCCUAGUAACGGCGAGUGAAGCGGCAACAGCUCAAAUUUGAAAUCUGGCUCUCGGGCCCGAGUUGUAAUUUGUAGAGGAUGCUUUUGGUGCGGUGCCUUCCGAGUGCCCUGGAACGGGACGCCAUAGAGGGUGAGAGCCCCGUCUGGUUGGAUGCCAAUCCUCUGUAAAGCUCCUUCGACGAGUCGAGUAGUUUGGGAAUGCUGCUCUAAAUGGGAGGUAUAUGUCUUCUAAAGCUAAAUACCGGCCAGAGACCGAUAGCGCACAAGUAGAGUGAUCGAAAGAUGAAAAGCACUUUGAAAAGAGAGUUAAAAAGUACGUGAAAUUGUUGAAAGGGAAGCGUUUAUGACCAGACUUGGGCUUGGUUAAUCAUCCAGGGUUCUCCCUGGUGCACUUUUCCAGUCCAGGCCAGCAUCAGUUUGCUUCGGGGGAUAAAGGCUUCGGGAAUGUGGCUCUCUCCGGGGAGUGUUAUAGCCCGUUGCGUAAUACCCUGGGGCGGACUGAGGUACGCGCUUCUGCAAGGAUGCUGGCGUAAUGGUCAUCAACGACCCGUCUUGAAACACGGACCAAGGAGUCGUCUUCGUAUGCGAGUGUUCGGGUGUCAAACCCCUACGCGUAAUGAAAGUGAACGCAGGUGAGAGCUUCGGCGCAUCAUCGACCGAUCCUGAUGUUCUCGGAUGGAUUUGAGUAAGAGCAUACGGGGCCGGACCCGAAAGAAGGUGAACUAUGCUUGUAUAGGGUGAAGCCAGAGGAAACUCUGGUGGAGGCUCGCAGCGGUUCUGACGUGCAAAUCGAUCGUCAAAUAUGAGCAUGGGGGCGAAAGACUAAUCGAACCUUCUAGUAGCUGGUUUCCGC